CUAGGACUAAACCAGGACUAAACCAGGUCUAAACCAGGUCUAAACCAGGACUAAACCAGGUCUAAACCAGGACUUAAUCCAGGACUAAAACUAGGACUAAAACCAGGACAAUAUCAAGUAAUCCAAAGUAUUCAGAUUACAUUACUCACUUUAAGUAGUUUAAUGGAUUACGUUAUAAACUAUCUUCUGCCUCCAGUUAAGUGUUUUCCAACCUAAGCCUCGGCAGCUUAACAUCAAAAUGGUCCCAGAAAAGACAAGAUGCGGCUUUAUGUUUCAAGACCAUUUAUCCUUUUUUGUAAAACUGUGAAACAGAUACAAGAAAUACUUCAGUAUUAACAUGUACAGACUGUGUGGCUAGAAUAUAACAGUUAACAGAAACAAAAACGUUUUUAUACAUAUAUUAAACAUAAAAAUAUCCCAUCAAGUAACACAGAAAAUAUCAUUUAAUCGCAUGUAACUUACAGAUUAUGGUUUGCCCAGGGUUUCCCAAGAUUUCACAAGUUUGGUUUGGUCUUAGCACCUCCAAAACCGUUACUGACUUGUCUUGCGCUUACAAGUGGAGGCCGCUAGAUGGCGCUGCCACGCAUAAACUAAUUAAAGAAGAAGAACGGAAAAGUGAAGAUAUAAUGACAAAGUCUCCCUCUACUGGACAAACAGGGGAAAACACUAACACUUUACACAAACCCAAACCAACAGAAUUCAAAUGAAAUGAAGGACAGAAUAAACUACAUUUCGGGGUGUGUAAUCUGUAAUCUGUAGGGGAUUACAUUUUUAAAGUAACCUUCCCAACACUGCUGGUUAUUUUCUGUGUUUAUUUUAAUCUUGUAAAUACCAAAUAUGUGUAAAUCUUAAAUUACCUUGAAACUGUUAUUUUGACCUGCUGUUCCUGUCCUGACCGCUAGAUGGAGCCAGAGCGCCUCCUUCUAUAAUUAUUACUCGGUUUUGGACUCGUUAAAACUUUUUUUUUAUUUUUUUUUAAUCUUUGUCAUUAUAUUUUAUUGUGAUGUUUGAGCUCCUGUGUCUAAAUAAUUUAUCUUGUGAAUCAAUAAAGUUUGUUUAAGUCUAAUUUGA
This is a long non-coding RNA of Boleophthalmus pectinirostris (great blue-spotted mudskipper), 1071 nucleotides long. RefSeq lists it as uncharacterized. The record is from RefSeq and is a predicted model, not a curated record. The transcript has 2 exons. NCBI's taxonomy places the organism in Eukaryota, Metazoa, Chordata, Actinopteri, Gobiiformes, Gobiidae.